Molecule: ribosomal RNA, 765 nt
Filed under: uncultured Pseudomonadota bacterium
Lineage: Bacteria; Pseudomonadati; Pseudomonadota
Description: bacterial SSU rRNA
Rfam family: Bacterial small subunit ribosomal RNA
Source: RNAcentral
GCGCGGGGGCAACCCUGGCGGCGAGCGGCGAACGGGUGAGUAAUACAUCGGAACGUGUCCUGGAGUGGGGGAUAGCUCGGCGAAAGCCGGAUUAAUACCGCAUAAGCUCUGAGGAGGAAAGCGGGGGAUUCGCAAGGACCUCGCGCUGUUGGAGCGGCCGAUGUCGGAUUAGCUAGUUGGUGGGGUAAAGGCCCACCAAGGCGACGAUCCGUAGCUGGUCUGAGAGGACGACCAGCCACACUGGAACUGAGACACGGUCCAGACUCCUACGGGAGGCAGCAGUGGGGAAUUUUGGACAAUGGGCGCAAGCCUGAUCCAGCAAUGCCGCGUGAGUGAAGAAGGCCUUCGGGUUGUAAAGCUCUUUUGUCAGGGAAGAAACGGUGGGAGCUAAUAUCUCCUACUAAUGACGGUACCUGAGGAAUAAGCACCGGCUAACUACGUGCCAGCAGCCGCGGUAAUACGUAGGGUGCAAGCGUUAAUCGGAAUUACUGGGCGUAAAGCGUGCGCAGGCGGUUUUGUAAGUCUGAUGUGAAAUCCCCGGGCUCAACCUGGGAAUUGCAUUGGAGACUGCAAGGCUAGAAUCUGGCAGAGGGGGGUAGAAUUCCACGUGUAGCAGUGAAAUGCGUAGAGAUGUGGAGGAACACCGAUGGCGAAGGCAGCCCCCUGGGUCAAGAUUGACGCUCAUGCACGAAAGCGUGGGGAGCAAACAGGAUUAGAUACCCUGGUAGUCCACGCCCUAAACGAUGUCUACUAGUUGUCGGGUUU